GUUUCAAUUCUAUUCUAUUUGACACAUCACUCAAAAUUCCGGUGCCGUCAACCGACAUCCCACAAAAUUUUCAGUAAAAUUCCGCUAAACCAAAAAAAUAAGGAAUCCAUAAGCCAUGGUGGCGUGAAUAAUGGAUGUGGUCCAAAAUACCCUGUUGGUGCUACUGGCCGCUGUACUGUUCUUACUGGGUCUCGUCAACGCAUGCACUAAGAAGGUCUACAUAGCCUGCAGGUCGCCAGCUCCUUGCACCAAGUGAACAAAGAAGAUACAAGAAAUGGGAAAGUACGCCAUGAACCGCUUGUGCAUCGUUCUGCUUGCUCUUAUCUCGAUGUUCAUCUUGGGAGUCUCUGCUUGCAAGAAGAACAUCCCGUGCGCCGGCAGAGCACCGUGCCGCAGGGGACCUUACAGAAACUGAUCUUCAGGGAACAGAUAAACACCAAAUACUAAAGCUGUAGAUGGAAGCGAAACCCAAUGGCCGAAGACUGUAUGUUUGAACCGCGUGAAUAGUUUACUGAUGAAGGCAUGAAAGGAGCGUGGUGUCACGUGGCGCUGAUUCUCUGGCUGGUGGCGGUGUGGGUGCUCGAAGCGGUCGGCUGUGGUACCAAACGCAUCGUUUGCGAUCCCGACAAGCCGCCGUGCAACAAAUAAUUUCAUCCAGUGGCCAGUUGGAGAUGGACAGGAUCUAUCUGCAAGAGCUCCUCGUCUUGGUAGUGAGUUUAAUGCUGUCGUAUUUGGAGUCGUGCCUGGCCUGCACCAGGCACACCUACAUCGACUGUCACGAGAAUAGCCCUAAAUGCGAAACGAAGAAAUAAGGAAGGUGCAACAAUGCCUGUAAUCAACGAGUUUGUGCUGGUUAUGCUCCACAUCUUAAUAACUAUGUUUGAUCUCAAGUAUGGGCGCAAUGAUCAGCGCCCUCGCCAAUCUCACCGCCCAGAACUUACCGACCGAAAGUUAAUGAUAAAGAAGUGACCGCCAUGCUAUACACGAAGAUCUUCAUCUGCAUAUUCCACAUUUUGUGUUGCAUUCUCGGAGUAUCCAGUUGCAAGAAGCGUCGAGAGAGAUGCCCUGAUUACUGCCUCCCUUGUACAUACAAAGGACCUAUCAUUGAAGUUAUAUACCCUAAACCGAGCAAAUGAGACCAGCGAUGAACAUAAAUAAUUACUCAAAAUGAAGUUUUUAGAAAUGAUCUUCCAACAUCAAGAACCAAUGUGACCUUUUAAAUUAU
Long non-coding RNA from Manduca sexta (tobacco hornworm), 1225 nucleotides. RefSeq lists it as uncharacterized. The transcript has 9 exons. Lineage: Eukaryota; Metazoa; Arthropoda; Insecta; Lepidoptera; Sphingidae. The record is from RefSeq and is a predicted model, not a curated record.